RNAcentral lists this ribosomal RNA (433 nucleotides) under uncultured bacterium. Its description in RNAcentral is "partial 16S ribosomal RNA". It matches the Rfam family "Bacterial small subunit ribosomal RNA", at positions 29 to 507 of the family's 1533-position model. The record is from RNAcentral.
AACGAACGCUGGCGGCAUGCCUAACACAUGCAAGUCGAACGAGACCUUCGGGUCUAGUGGCGCACGGGUGCGUAACGCGUGGGAACCUGCCCUUAGGUUCGGAAUAACUCCCCGAAAGGGGUGCUAAUACCGGAUAAUGUCUUCGGACCAAAGAUUUAUCGCCUUUGGAUGGGCCCGCGUUGGAUUAGCUAGUUGGUAGGGUAAAAGCCUACCAAGGCGACGAUCCAUAGCUGGUCUGAGAGGAUGAUCAGCCACACUGGGACUGAGACACGGCCCAGACUCCUACGGGAGGCAGCAGUGGGGAAUAUUGGAAAAUGGGCGAAAGCCUGAUCCAGCAAGGCCGCGUGAGUGAUGAAGGCCUUAGGGUUGUAAAGCUCUUUUACCCGGGAUGAUAAUGACAGUACCGGGAGAAUAAGCUCCGGCUAACUCCGUG